This 269-nucleotide signal recognition particle RNA is filed under the name Candidatus Zhuqueibacterota bacterium. Its description in RNAcentral is "candidate division KSB1 bacterium (freshwater sediment metagenome) signal recognition particle sRNA large type". It matches the Rfam family "Bacterial large signal recognition particle RNA". From Rfam's summary of the family: The signal recognition particle (SRP) is a universally conserved ribonucleoprotein involved in the co-translational targeting of proteins to membranes. Archaeal SRP consists of a 7S RNA and homologues of the eukaryotic SRP19 and SRP54 proteins. In most bacteria, the SRP consists of a 4.5S RNA and the Ffh protein (a homologue of the eukaryotic SRP54 protein). The record is from RNAcentral. Lineage: Bacteria; Pseudomonadati.
CUGUGCUAGACGGGGAACUAGCGGUGCCCUGUAACCUGCAAUCCGCUAUAGCAGGGUUGAAUUCCUUCCUAGAGGUUUGCUCAGCCUCGUUCUAUUUUCAGCAAGCGAUAUUGAUAGUUCAAGUCUCACGCAACAGACGAGUGCCCAACCCCGUCAGGACCGGAAGGUAGCAGCGGUAAGCAUGCAGUGUGUGUGCCGUGAGGGCUCUUGGCUGGAGUUGGCUGCUGAAAGUGAACCAGGAAAGUGAGGAAUCGACGGUAGGUGCACAG